RNAcentral lists this long non-coding RNA (1833 nucleotides) under Equus asinus (donkey). RNAcentral's name for it is "lncRNA (ENSEASG00005033343.1)". The record is from RNAcentral. Lineage: Eukaryota; Metazoa; Chordata; Mammalia; Perissodactyla; Equidae.
GAGAAACGAAAAGUCACAAAGCACAAGGCACGGGAACAGGGAGAGGUGAAGAAUUGCGCCAGCGGGUCAAUCUACCACACUUUACUAUCCCACGGAAAGACGACACCGAAAAAACAACACCAUCAGGCGCUGAGUGGUGAAGGCGACUGCAGACCUUGCUGUAAAAUGGAACGGGGUCUCAGGGAAGCCAUUUACCUGUACGUGGCAAUAUGGCAAAACAACGGCCAGGGGGCACCUGGGAUUGAACCGGGGACAUCUGGACCUGCAGCCAAGGGCUCUAGCCUUGAGCCACGCCCCCUGGCCUGCUGGGGGCCCCUCCUGACAUUAUUUCACCUGUGUUGCCAUGCCCCAGAUUCCAUAGUGGACUCUAAGUUCUAGUCCUACUUGGGCCACCUCUGGAACUGGCAGAGCCACCACACACUGACUGGAGACCACUCACUGGCCAUGAUGCGAGAGCCCAGGCACUGCCUGUGCCCGCUUCCCUGGCCGACCUUCAUCCCAUAGUGAGGACACGCAGCGGGCCUUCCUAAAAGGCCACAAGCCCUAAGACGCUAAGGACUAGAGAAAGGACAGUGACCUGAGGGGUGAUGUUUCCAGCAUAAUCUACAUGCUACCAUGUUGCUGGCAGCCUGUGAAGUACCGUCUUUCUGUUACAGGAUGCAAUCGGAAAGUCGGGCAUUCUUCCCUGGCAGCAGGUCCAGCGCCAGCAGAAUCAGCCGCUCUGCAGUGCCUCGUGCUGUUCUGUGGGCACUGAGGACACCAAGGCCUGGCCCUCACUAGGCGCUUCAUUCCAGGUGAUCCGGGCAAAAUUGAAGUCUCCUGCUUUGUCACUGUGUGCCAACGACGGCCAGGUUCAAAUUCCCGAAUAACUACCAAGAUGGUCCUAACAAAACCAGACACUCAGUGCCAUAUGCCCCUCACGGCCUGCACCCCACCCCCAGUACCAGUUGACACACUGUCUGCAUUCUGUCAAAAACAGAAACCGAUGAUGGCUCCUUGAGACAAAUAAGGAAACUAUUGGCAGGAUGGGAAAAGUCUCACCACACCAAACGUAGCUAGAGAUCUGCGCUAGGAAAUGGGCAGGACUAAAGGGCAGCCGCGCAGGCAGAAUCGUUGACCUCAAAAGGCAUCCUGCUUUAUGGGGCUGAUGAUGCCCCACUGGACACUGCCUGCAGCCAGCGGCCCCACUGCCAAUGCCAGCCCCCUGGCUCCGCUGGAGGAAAUUCCCAACUCCUCCUGCUUCUGGGUAAAUCAUUCAUGUUCCAGGUCUCAAUCAGCUACAGGUGACUGGCUAAGCCUGAGCUACGGCCGGGGCUCAGGGACGGCAGCACCUGGUAUUCCCGGCUUUCAUAGUAUUGUGAGAUCCCGGCUUCCACCAGUCAUACACGGCUCUGGAUCCCCAAAGUACAAAGGAAUUUCAAGUGUUGGGGCUGUAAGAAGAUCGUUACAAACACCCACCACAGGUAGCCCAAGUGAGGCUGCAUCACUGCCACAAUCACGAAUGGUGGGAAGCGUUGGUGCUGCCAGAGCCCGGGAGGCUUUCUGGCACAGGCCCCACCUGCCUCUUCCUCUGCCCUCUUGCAGGAAGAUGCCGUUAGCUGCAACGGCGACACCGGCUCUGAGUAAAAUCACAGCCUGGUCCAUACACUGGAAUUUUAUCCAGCAACAAAAAUAAAUGAGCUCUCAAGCCACAAAAAGACACGCAGGAACCUUAAAUGCCUAUUACUAAGGGAAAGAAGCCAAGCUGAACAGGCUACACCGCAUGCGAUUCCACCGCUAUGGCAUUCUGGAAAAGGGAGAUCCGUGGACAGUAAGAAGAUCAGUGGGUGCCAG